RNAcentral lists this unclassified non-coding RNA (376 nucleotides) under uncultured bacterium. RNAcentral describes it as "contains 16S-23S intergenic spacer region". The record is from RNAcentral.
UCGCGGCUUAUCACCGGCAGUCCCCUUAGAGUGCCCAACUGAAUGAUGGCAACUAAGGGCGAGGGUUGCGCUCGUUGCGGGACUUAACCCAACAUCUCGCGACACGAGCUGACGACAGCCAUGCACCACCUGUGAAAGUGCCCCGAAGGGAAGCCGUGUUUCCACGGCGGUCACUCACAUGUCAAGCCCAGGUAAGGUUCUUCGCGUUGCGUCGAAUUAAACCACAUGCUCCGCUGCUUGUGCGGGCCCCCGUCAAUUCCUUUGAGUUUUAGCCUUGCGGCCGUAGUCCCCGGGCGGCGGACUUAUCGCGUUAGCUGCGGCACCGAGGGGGUCGAUACCCCGACACCUAGUCCGCGUCGUUUACAGCGUGGACUAC